AUAUAAUAUUCAAAUAUUAUCGAUAAAAAUUUAUUUUGUAUCUUACACCCGCCUAAAUAGGCGGGCCUUAUCUAGUUGAAUAUAAAUCUUAAA
RNAcentral lists this small RNA (93 nucleotides) under Arabidopsis thaliana (thale cress). Its description in RNAcentral is "ATSL097020". The record is from RNAcentral. Lineage: Eukaryota; Viridiplantae; Streptophyta; Magnoliopsida; Brassicales; Brassicaceae.